This 72-nucleotide transfer RNA is filed under the name Felis catus (domestic cat). It matches the Rfam family "tRNA". Rfam says of the family: Transfer RNA (tRNA) molecules are approximately 80 nucleotides in length. Lineage: Eukaryota; Metazoa; Chordata; Mammalia; Carnivora; Felidae. The record is from Rfam by way of RNAcentral.
ACCUGGCUGGCUCAGUCGGUUGAGCGUGGGACUCUUGAUCUCAGGAUCAUGAGUUGAACCCCGUGUUGGGCA